This 1250-nucleotide ribosomal RNA is filed under the name Pediococcus pentosaceus. RNAcentral's name for it is "bacterial SSU rRNA". It matches the Rfam family "Bacterial small subunit ribosomal RNA", at positions 262 to 1482 of the family's 1533-position model. Lineage: Bacteria; Bacillati; Bacillota; Bacilli; Lactobacillales; Lactobacillaceae. The record is from RNAcentral.
GGUUCACCCAAGGCCAGUGAAUCCGUAGCCCGACCCUGAAGAGGGUAAUUCGGCCCACCAUUGGGGACUGAAGACACGGGCCCCAGAUUUCUUACGGGAAGGCAGCCAGUAAGGAAUUCUUCCCCCAAUGGACCGCAAGUCUGAUGGAGCAACCCCCGCGUGAGUGAAGAAAGGGUUUCGGCUUCGUAAAGCUCUGUUGUUAAAGAAGAAACGUGGGUAAGGAGUAACUGUUUACCCCAGUGACGGUAUUUAACCAGAAAGCCACGGCUAACUACGUGCCAGCAGCCGCGGUAAUACGUAGGUGGCAAGCGUUAUCCGGAUUUAUUGGGCGUAAAGCGAGCGCAGGCGGUCUUUUAAGUCUAAUGUGAAAGCCUUCGGCUCAACCGAAGAAGUGCAUUGGAAACUGGGAGACUUGAGUGCAGAAGAGGACAGUGGAACUCCAUGUGUAGCGGUGAAAUGCGUAGAUAUAUGGAAGAACACCAGUGGCGAAGGCGGCUGUCUGGUCUGCAACUGACGCUGAGGCUCGAAAGCAUGGGUAGCGAACAGGAUUAGAUACCCUGGUAGUCCAUGCCGUAAACGAUGAUUACUAAGUGUUGGAGGGUUUCCGCCCUUCAGUGCUGCAGCUAACGCAUUAAGUAAUCCGCCUGGGGAGUACGACCGCAAGGUUGAAACUCAAAAGAAUUGACGGGGGCCCGCACAAGCGGUGGAGCAUGUGGUUUAAUUCGAAGCUACGCGAAGAACCUUACCAGGUCUUGACAUCUUCUGACAGUCUAAGAGAUUAGAGGUUCCCUUCGGGGACAGAAUGACAGGUGGUGCAUGGUUGUCGUCAGCUCGUGUCGUGAGAUGUUGGGUUAAGUCCCGCAACGAGCGCAACCCUUAUUACUAGUUGCCAGCAUUAAGUUGGGCACUCUAGUGAGACUGCCGGUGACAAACCGGAGGAAGGUGGGGACGACGUCAAAUCAUCAUGCCCCUUAUGACCUGGGCUACACACGUGCUACAAUGGAUGGUACAACGAGUCGCGAGACCGCGAGGUUAAGCUAAUCUCUUAAAACCAUUCUCAGUUCGGACUGUAGGCUGCAACUCGCCUACACGAAGUCGGAAUCGCUAGUAAUCGCGGAUCAGCAUGCCGCGGUGAAUACGUUCCCGGGCCUUGUACACACCGCCCGUCACACCAUGAGAGUUUGUAACACCCAAAGCCGGUGGGGUAACCUUUAGGAGCUAGCCGUCUAAGUGACAGAGUAUUUGCAAUG